Molecule: non-coding RNA, 22 nt
Filed under: Arabidopsis thaliana (thale cress)
Lineage: Eukaryota; Viridiplantae; Streptophyta; Magnoliopsida; Brassicales; Brassicaceae
Source: RNAcentral
UCACGGCCAUGCGGAUGUUAGC